AGGAGAAUAGCUUAAUUUGGUAGAGCUCUGGUUUUCAAAACCAAGGGUUGAGGGUUCAAGUCCUUCUUCUCCUG
This 74-nucleotide transfer RNA is filed under the name Gelidium gabrielsonii. RNAcentral's name for it is "tRNA-Trp". It matches the Rfam family "tRNA". From Rfam's summary of the family: Transfer RNA (tRNA) molecules are approximately 80 nucleotides in length. Their secondary structure includes four short double-helical elements and three loops (D, anti-codon, and T loops). Further hydrogen bonds mediate the characteristic L-shaped molecular structure. tRNAs have two regions of fundamental functional importance: the anti-codon, which is responsible for specific mRNA codon recognition, and the 3' end, to which the tRNAs corresponding amino acid is attached (by aminoacyl-tRNA synthetases). tRNAs cope with the degeneracy of the genetic code in two manners: having more than one tRNA (with a specific anti-codon) for a particular amino acid; and 'wobble' base-pairing, i.e. permitting non-standard base-pairing at the 3rd anti-codon position. The record is from RNAcentral. Lineage: Eukaryota; Rhodophyta; Florideophyceae; Gelidiales; Gelidiaceae.